Long non-coding RNA from Vidua chalybeata, 775 nucleotides. RefSeq lists it as uncharacterized. The transcript is spliced from 6 exons. Lineage: Eukaryota; Metazoa; Chordata; Aves; Passeriformes; Viduidae. The record is from RefSeq and is a predicted model, not a curated record.
GAAAAACUCUUUGUGAGCUGAUUAAUGUUCUACUCCUGCUCUCAAACAGAUGGAUUUCAUUUGCUAUUUUCCCUUCAUUCACGUUUUAAUUCGAGCGUUCCCAAAAAGCCUAUGCCAUGUCACUGCAGUAUAGGCUGCAUUUCUCCCCCUCCUUGCCAGCUUAUGAAUGCAGAGUAUGAUACAGGAAUCCUGGUGUCUUAGGGAGUGGUGAUUAUGAAGACAGGAUGGGCCUGUGGUGUAGCUCAGAUCAAAACCACAGCAAGCUUUGAAAAAUCAGCAUUACCUCAAACAGUGCUUGGAGAUGAGAUACAACAAAAGCAGUACCAGUACUGCACAGCAUCAUGAAUCUGAUAUUUCCUAACCUUCAAAUGCUUGACUAUGCAGUUUUGGGACUUCACAUGGAUUCAUGAUCUGGAUGCCAAAGUGUGAUCCAUAUUUCUCAGGUGUAGAUUGAAAUUUCAUCACUAUUUUCAUCACCAAGUACUUCAAGAAUCGAGUUUAAAACUAAACAUGGACUUCCUUUGCAAAAUUCAUGCAGGCAGAGAUUCAAGACUCUAAAAGUGAGUGCCAUCCCCAGACUGUCCACAUGCAUAUUUCAGAUGUCUUCAUUACGAAACAAGUAAUUUUCUAAAUGCAAUAAUGACAUGGAACAACCCUGUACACAGCACAGGUUAAAAAGAAAAAGAAGAGAGGAAAAAAAGUCACUCCUUCAGAGCAAGUAUGUGAAUACCAAAUUUCAGUCUGAAUGUUACUUGAAGCCUGAUGAUAUCCACUG